Long non-coding RNA from Dalotia coriaria, 1384 nucleotides. RefSeq lists it as uncharacterized. The record is from RefSeq and is a predicted model, not a curated record. The transcript has 3 exons. Lineage: Eukaryota; Metazoa; Arthropoda; Insecta; Coleoptera; Staphylinidae.
UCAGUCUCUUAUUUGUCGUCGGGUGAUUUGCACGCACAUUUUCUUCACAAUAAUUUGAGUUCCUUAAUUUCUUCGCGUCAUUACGUAAUACUUCUAAAUGCUCCUUCCAUUGUGCGCGAGUGAUGUGCGGCGUUCGUUAAAUGCGAAUUGUUUAUACGCAGAGGUAAAACGGGAGUGAUGUUCCGUCGGCCGUCGGAUACUCUAUUUGUAUCCAUUAUUACCUUCUCGUGUUCCGAAUAAUUUCCCCAGAUGCAGCAUUCAAUUCUGUAUCUCCUUGUAUCGAAAUUUAUUGCGAGAAAAUUCUGUGAUGCGAGUGAUAUUCAAAGGAAUGGUAGUUUUUUUAGCAUAGCAUGUUUACGAAGUAUUUGCCAUGCCUUGGAGUCCGAUGUGUCUCUGCAUUGUUAUUUCUGAAUUAUUACCUGUUCUGUUCUGAUUACCUGUUAAAUAGGUAAGUUUGUGUGUGUGUUAUUACAUCAUUAUUAUAUUCAUGAUGUAGCGUGAACUUUUUCUACUACUCCUGUCAGCACACCCUUUUUUUAUUGUAUUCUUAAUUCUGUAAUCGGGUUAACGCGUUUAAUAGUUUGAUAAUUAAUUAUAUAAAAGACGUUUUCCAUGUUCCAAAUUCGUUUUGAUGGUAGAGUACCGGGAACUCUCGUUGCAAAAAAAAAGAUUUAAAUUCUUAUUGGUGUUUUAUAUAUCUAUCACCUUAUUUUAAUUUUUGUUUGACUUCCAUGGAGAAACAGGUAUCAUUGUUCUUGUUUUUCUUCUAUCGCUUUAGUACUUUAUACAAAAUGUAGUUGUAUUUUUCUUGGGUCAUCCUCUAUCGGAAGUCCUCCAAUGAUAAUAUAAUAAUAUAUGUAGUAAUAUUUUUUUAUAAUACCUUGUGUAUUUAUUUUCUUUCCUUUUGAUUGAAAAACUGAUUAUUAUUGGCGUUUUUCUUUUUGAACUUUUGAUUUUGUUUUUAAAUUAGUAAUUUUCUUUUUGUAUCUCCCUGUAUAUUAAUUUUCCUUGAAUUUACAAACAUUAAUAAAAUUUCAAGUUUCCAGAUUUUUUCUUCUUUAAUUUUCUAAAUACUUUUUGUAACACCCAGUAUAUCACAUUUCCCUUAAAUCCAGCUAUAAAUGAGAAAAGUUUAUUGUUUUAAUGUGAGUUUCUUUUUGCAGCAUUGUUUUUUAAAAUAACACCCUGUAUAUUUGUUUUCAUUUUCAAAGAAAAUGAACUAUUUGCUAAUUUCUUUAUUCCGACAGAACUGUACGAAGUGCUACCUGCUCAUAUGUGCGCGGCUUAGCAGGUCGUAAGUCCUGUUUCAAUAUGGCGACAUAUAUUCUGUUGACUUGAAAAGUCUAAACUAGUAUUCUAUUGUUAAUAAAGAAAUAGUAUGAUA